Molecule: ribosomal RNA, 702 nt
Filed under: Brevibacterium sp. ADB_BD016
Lineage: Bacteria; Bacillati; Actinomycetota; Actinomycetes; Micrococcales; Brevibacteriaceae
Description: bacterial SSU rRNA
Rfam family: Bacterial small subunit ribosomal RNA
Source: RNAcentral
UGGGAUAACUUCGGGAAACCGGAGCUAAUACCGGAUACGUUCUUUUCUCGCAUGAGAGAAGAUGGAAAGACGGUUUACGCUGUCACUUAUAGAUGGGCCCGCGGCGCAUUAGCUAGUUGGUGAGGUAAUGGCUCACCAAGGCGACGAUGCGUAGCCGACCUGAGAGGGUGAUCGGCCACACUGGGACUGAGACACGGCCCAGACUCCUACGGGAGGCAGCAGUAGGGAAUCUUCCGCAAUGGACGAAAGUCUGACGGAGCAACGCCGCGUGAACGAAGAAGGCCUUCGGGUCGUAAAGUUCUGUUGUUAGGGAAGAACAAGUACCAGAGUAACUGCUGGUACCUUGACGGUACCUAACCAGAAAGCCACGGCUAACUACGUGCCAGCAGCCGCGGUAAUACGUAGGUGGCAAGCGUUGUCCGGAAUUAUUGGGCGUAAAGCGCGCGCAGGUGGUUCCUUAAGUCUGAUGUGAAAGCCCACGGCUCAACCGUGGAGGGUCAUUGGAAACUGGGGAACUUGAGUGCAGAAGAGGAAAGUGGAAUUCCAAGUGUAGCGGUGAAAUGCGUAGAGAUUUUGGAGGAACACCAGUGGCCGAAGGCGACUUUUCUGGUCUGUAACUGACACUGAGGCGCGAAAGCGUGGGGGAGCAAACAGGGAUUAGAUACCCUGGGUAGUCCACGCCCGUAAACCGAUGAGGUGCUA